RNAcentral lists this long non-coding RNA (1391 nucleotides) under Capra hircus (goat). RNAcentral describes it as "lncRNA (ENSCHIG00010024724.1)". The record is from RNAcentral. Lineage: Eukaryota; Metazoa; Chordata; Mammalia; Artiodactyla; Bovidae.
GGAGGGUCUGACGCAGGGACGGCUGAGGGAGGAGCUGCCUGCCCUCAGGUUGCUGCUGCCUGCUUCCAGGCCUUUUCAUCAUCACUCUGGGGAACCUGCCUCCUGGACACGCUCCCCCAGCGCCAGGCAGAGCUGCCCGCCUGGCGCUCAAGUCCUGUGACGCACCCCACCCCACCCCACCUCCCCGAGNNNNNNNNNNNNNNNNNNCCCGUGAGCUUCCUAAGGCGCCGUGGCCGUUCCCAGUGGCCGAGGUCUAUGGUGGGUAUGUUUCUACAUUGCUCUUGGAGGAAAGUGGGGUUUGUGUUAAUGGGAAUCCAGCCCCGUGGGGGAAGCAGGAAGCAGAAGGCGCUGAGACCCAUCCUGUCUGAGAGCCGGGGGUCCUGGUGGGUCCCGGGGUCUGGGCCUGCCACCUGACCUCACGUGAGUAAACAGAGGGUGACGGCCUCCUGUAGGAAGAGAACCAGCUACGCAGACACAGAAAACCUCGACACCAUCAGGUCACAAUGUCAAAGCUUCUAAAAAGCCUUCGAAUAGCACAAAUAAGCACAGCAUUCCACCACUUUGUCCGACCACACCCCUACCCUUUCUGGUGUGUCCUUGACAAGUCCUUGACCCAGGAAAACAUUCUUUCUCCUGAAUCUCUUGAUACUGAGGUUUGGGCGGGCCCCCUUCACCCCCAUGGGAGGGCCUGCCUUCCUGCCAUUCCAGCCCAGCACUGGAGGUCAAGGUCCUCACGAGACAUGACCCAGAUCCCCUGGCCAAGCCUGUGGCCAGGGGGUCCUCCUGGUGGUCACUGUGAACCCUGUGGGUAUUUUCUGCCAAACCAUGGCCAUGGGGAGGGUCAUGGAAUGCAAGCUAGGUGGAGACACAGCCGGCCUAGUCACUUAAUGGUUAGAAAAGUCCUGGUUCUGCAAAUUUUUCCAAAUGGCAUGACCACGGGAACAUGCCAGCGGGGCCCAAGGCCCAGCCCUGCCGGCCUGGCAGUCAGCCCGCCUGCCCGCCUGCUGGCCCUGGGGAGUCUGCCCCGCAGGAGCCCUGGGUGGGUGGUGGCUGCCCCCAGAGCCCCCUGAGCACAGCUGGGGGACGCCUCCCGGUUCUCCCCUGGGGUGGCACCUUGGGGAGCCGAGUCCCCUGGAGAAAUGGGUGGGAAUCGUCAGCAUGCAGGUUCCCCGGCCCCAGCAGCUGGUGGCUGGCCUGGGAGUGAGCCCUGAGCAAGCCCUAGGGUUUCUCGUGAUGACCCGCUAGUGUGCCCUCUGCCUCCAUCAAAAGCGAGCUGGCAGUGCUGGGGGAGCUGUGGUCAUGUCCUGCCUGUACUUGCUGAGCCAUCUGCCCAGGCUUCAGGGUCCAGAGGGAACCUGGGGGCUUCCCUGUCGGUCCUGACAAGUGUGGAG